AUUAUAAAUUGUUACAAAACAAUAGGUUGAUAAUGACCCUGCUUGAAAGUGCUUUCAAUCUACAUCAGGUAGGGUAUAAAAACACAAUAAGGGCAGACUAGGGAAUAGCAACCAAGCAGCAGGCUGGGAAGUAGCACAAUUGAAAGGUGAAAGUGGACUGUGGCCCUCUAGAAAGAGAGCAAAAAAAAGUUUGAGUGAGUUUUGAGAGACUUAAUCUUUAUCUGCUAGUAUAUGGCCUUGUCUGCAAGACCAGAUGAUGCCGAGUCCUGAGUGAAACUUAUGAAUGCUGUUUUGGACAUAGGUUGUUAUAGAGAGUCUGGGGCCAGAUAAAACAACUAAAACAAUCAAUGGGAGAGAUACAAUAGGUGAAAGUUAUAAAAGCUAACAUCAAUUUACCCCUUCAGGACAGUGUCUGUUUCUGCGAUGUUGUACGUUAAGGACCAGGGCUCUUUUUUAACACUUUUGUUGUGUUUGCGUUUAGCUGUAAUUUUCCUCGCUCCCAUUUACUGUUCCCAUACAAGUUAUAUAUUGUUUUUCAGGACAAAAAGGGCUUUCUUUACAUACCAUUAUUUGUAAUAUGUCAUAAUUUACUUAAAAAUAAAAAAAGAUAUGGUGAAAUUUGAAAAAACACUAAACUUUUUUUUU
Pelobates cultripes (western spadefoot toad) is the source of this 645-nucleotide non-coding RNA. The record is from the annotation of a GenBank genome assembly. NCBI's taxonomy places the organism in Eukaryota, Metazoa, Chordata, Amphibia, Anura, Pelobatidae.